RNAcentral lists this ribosomal RNA (800 nucleotides) under uncultured bacterium. Its description in RNAcentral is "bacterial SSU rRNA". It matches the Rfam family "Bacterial small subunit ribosomal RNA", at positions 8 to 854 of the family's 1533-position model. The record is from RNAcentral.
AGAGUUUGAUCCUGGCUCAGAGCGAACGCUGGCGGCAGGCCUAACACAUGCAAGUCGAACGGACCCUUCGGGGUUAGUGGCGGACGGGUGAGUAACACGUGGGAACGUGCCUUUAGGCUCGGAAUAGCCCCUGGAAACGGGUGGUAAUGCCGAAUGUGCCCUUCGGGGGAAAGAUUUAUCGCCUUUAGAGCGGCCCGCGUCUGAUUAGCUAGUUGGUGAGGUAAUGGCUCACCAAGGCGACGAUCAGUAGCUGGUCUGAGAGGAUGACCAGCCACAUUGGGACUGAGACACGGCCCAAACUCCUACGGGAGGCAGCAGUGGGGAAUCUUGCGCAAUGGGCGAAAGCCUGACGCAGCCAUGCCGCGUGAAUGAUGAAGGUCUUAGGAUUGUAAAAUUCUUUCACCGGGGACGAUAAUGACGGUACCCGGAGAAGAAGCCCCGGCUAACUUCGUGCCAGCAGCCGCGGUAAUACGAAGGGGGCUAGCGUUGCUCGGAAUUACUGGGCGUAAAGGGCGCGUAGGCGGACAUUUAAGUCAGGGGUGAAAUCCCAGAGCUCAACUCUGGGAACUGCCUUUGAUACUGGGUGUCUUGAGUGUGAGAGAGGUAUGUGGAACUCCGAGUGUAGAGGUGAAAUUCGUAGAUAUUCGGAAGAACACCAGUGGCGAAGGCGACAUACUGGCUCAUUACUGACGCUGAGGCGCGAAAGCGUGGGGAGCAAACAGGAUUAGAUACCCUGGUAGUCCACGCCGUAAACGAUGAUUGCUAGUUGUCGGGCUGCAUGCAGUUCGGUGACGCAGCUA